Molecule: small nucleolar RNA, 83 nt
Filed under: Nicotiana sylvestris (wood tobacco)
Lineage: Eukaryota; Viridiplantae; Streptophyta; Magnoliopsida; Solanales; Solanaceae
Description: Small nucleolar RNA U54
Rfam family: Small nucleolar RNA U54
About the family: U54 is a C/D box small nucleolar RNA, which acts as a methylation guide for 18S ribosomal RNA in plants.
Source: Rfam by way of RNAcentral
AGCUCGAUGAUUACAUGCCUUAUGGGCUGUAUACGCUAUUCCGAUUUAAAGCAUGAAGAAUCAAUUUUUUAAGUAUGAGAGCU